RNAcentral lists this ribosomal RNA (1353 nucleotides) under metagenome. Its description in RNAcentral is "bacterial LSU rRNA". It matches the Rfam family "Bacterial large subunit ribosomal RNA", at positions 1552 to 2925 of the family's 2925-position model. The record is from RNAcentral.
UAUCCGAAGACGUGAUGCGUACCGAACUAAGAGUAGGGAAGAGUGUGAGCCAUGCGUCAAGAAAAGCCGCUAUUGUUUGUAUCGCGCCCGUACCGUAAACCGACACAGGUGGAUGAGGAGAGAAUCCUAAGGCCGACGGGAGAAGCAUUGUUAAGGAACACGGCAAAAUGACUCCGUAACUUCGGGAGAAGGAGUGCCACUGAGAGGUGGCCGCAGAGAAUUGGCCCAAGCAACUGUUUAGCAAAAACACAGGUCUAUGCAAAACCGAAAGGUGAAGUAUAUGGGCUGACGCCUGCCCGGUGCUGGAAGGUUAAGGGGAGAGGUUAGCGCAAGCGAAGCUUUGAACUUAAGCCCCAGUAAACGGCGGCCGUAACCAUAACGGUCCUAAGGUAGCGAAAUUCCUUGUCGGGUAAGUUCCGACCCGCACGAAAGGCGUAAUGAUUUGGGCACUGUCUCAACAAUGCACCCGGUGAAAUUGAAAUACCAGUGAAGAUGCUGGUUACCUGCGCCAGGACGGAAAGACCCCAUGGAGCUUUACUCCAGCUUGAUACUGGGAUUCGGUAUUGCAUGUACAGGAUAGGUGGGAGGCUAAGAAGCGGUAACGCCAGUUGCCGUGGAGCUGCUGUUGGGAUACCACCCUUGCAGUACUGGGUUUCUAACCAGCGGCCUUAAUCAGGUCGGGGGACAAUGUCAGGUGGGGAGUUUGACUGGGGCGGUCGCCUCCGAAAGGGUAUCGGAGGCGCUCAAAGGUUCCCUCAGAAUGGUCGGAAACCAUUCGAAGAGUGCAAAGGCAGAAGGGAGCUUGACUGCGACACCGACGGGUGGAGCAGGUACGAAAGUAGGACUUAGUGAUCCGGUGGUAUAAAGUGGGAUUGCCAUCGCUCAACGGAUAAAAGCUACCCUGGGAUAACAGGCUUAUCACUCCCAAGAGUUCACAUCGACGGAGUGGUUUGGCACCUCGAUGUCGGCUCAUCGCAUCCUGGGGCUGAAGUAGGUCCCAAGGGUUGGGCUGUUCGCCCAUUAAAGCGGUACGCGAGCUGGGUUCAGAACGUCGUGAGACAGUUCGGUCCCUAUCCGGCGUGGGCGUAGGAUAUUUGAGAGGAGCUGUCCUUAGUACGAGAGGACCGGGAUGGACUGGCCGCUGGUUGAUCUGUUGUUCCGCCAGGAGCAUAGCAGAGUAGCCAAGCCGGGACGGGAUAAACGCUGAAGGCAUCUAAGCGUGAAGCCCCCCUCAAGAUGAGAUAUCCCAACGAAAGUUGUAAGACCCCUUGAAGACGACGAGGUAGAUAGGACAGAGGUGGAAGUGUGGUAACACAUGGAGCUGACUGUUACUAAUAGGUCGAGGGCAUAACU